CCCUCACUAAAUUGUAAUACUCUUAUUACAAGCCACUUUGUUAUAACUCUAUUACAAAGACUUUACAACAUGACUAACUCUAGCUAAGACUCAAACAUACUGGUUUGAUGUUUACAAAUGGGUUCCAAUAGAAUGCUUAUAAACAAGCUAGAUAGUAAUUACAAUUAAAGAACUAUUACAAAGUUACAACUCAACUAACGACAUAUAAUAACUCUAUAUGGGAACUGGUCCGUAGUUGCUUUGUUCUUUGUUCUUGAAGCACUUGAAACUUGCUGGCUCAAUGGUCACGUGAGUGAGUUUGUCAAAUGUUCAAGUAUUUUGUUUUACCUCCCUUGAAUGCAUAUAUACAUGUGUGAUAUCACUUAUAAUGAUGUAAGAAAGGUAGGUAAAAAGUCUUCCCUAGAAAGUUGACUGCAACACUGUUUCUGCACUGUAACGUGUGUAGGCAGCAACUUUCCAACAGGAAAGUUGACUUUGUAUAGUCUCCUCAGGUACUGGUAGGGACCUGUUCCCUCAGUUAUUCCUUCCACUCUGAAGAUUUGAAUCAUAACGCAAGCUGGAUCCCAAAUUGGAACCUUAUGAUCUUAAGGUCUUGUAAAUGUGUAACAGGUUCCUUAUCUGGUUCUGGAUAGUAAGUUUGUUAGAUCAUCAAUACAUAAGGUAAAGUACUUAUGACCAAAGUACUUGUAACCUAUGAGUUCUAUAAUUGUAAGAACUCAUGGGAUGAUGAUCGUAAGCCGUGAGUUCGAGUUAUUCAACUUGUACUGGACUAUUAUGUGGGAAAUUUUGUGUUGUUGUUGGAUUGCAUGUUUUUCUACUAUUUUAGGGAGUUUUGAAGGAGGAAGGGUGUGGAGAAAUACCACAUAAAUUCAAGGUGGGGGCUGGUAAUCCGUCAUAAUAUUUUUGGGAUAUUUGAUACUACUACGGUGGUCGUUUUGUAUAUGAAGAGAUUAGGGUGUUUUUGGCUGUUUUGUAGUAUUUUGUGGUAUAUAUAAGGUGAGAAAAUAAUGCGAUAGUUGUACAUUUUGUAACUUAAUGAUAGUAUUAUUAUCGUUAUUGUAGAUUAAGAUGCGAAGAAACGAGGUCAACGUGGUUAUUAGAGUAAGAUACAUUAAGGCUAAACCUUUCCUUCAUUUUGGCAAGAUCCUGUAACUACAUGUGUUUGAUAACGAGAAAUAAAGAGAAGUUCAUAUUCCUGAACUUGUGUACAUUAUCCUAGUCUCAUAAGUUAAAGUUGUCACACCUCCUUUUUCCACCCUGAAAGGGGUAUAAGAGAGUUUUUUCAAUUAAAGUGACAAUAACCGAAACGGGAUUAUUUAUUUAAGUUCAAAGUCACCACUUGGGAUAAUUUAUGGUGUCCCAAGUCACCAGUUUAAAAUCCCGAAUCGAGGAAGUUUGACUAUGUUUUACAGUUCGCGAAACACAGAAAUUCGGGUAAGGAAUUCUAUUAACCCAGGAGAAGGUGUUAGGCAUUCCCGGGUUCUGUGGUUUUAGCACGGUUGCUCAACUAUUAUUAUUUGGCCUAAAUAUCUAAUUAAUUACAUUUUUAUACCUAUUGUGCAUUUUUACCUUUUCAAUUGCUUUUAAUUAUUUAUGGAAUUAUUCUGGAACAAGUUGCGAUUAUUGUACAUUUGUUUGUUUGGUACACAUUGCGAAUCGUAUCACGGGACCGUACCCAUGAUCUACAACAUGUUUAAUUUAAUAAUAUUAUUAGAAGUUUUGGUCGGGUCACAUAAAAUGUGCACCCGAAUUUGAAAAUUAUGUAUUACAACUACGUCACGGGAACCGUACCCGUAGCUAUGAUGAUUUAUAUUGUGCGCCUAAAGCAAACUAUAUAUGUUUAUGAAUAUUAACGGCCUAAAACAUGCUACUAACAAAUAUAGGAAAGUAACAAAGCGAUAGACAAUUAAAAUCUCAAUUUCACAAACUUUCACACCCGAGCUCCUUUAAUCUAAUUUGAUGUAGUUCAGUUGAUGAAUAGCAACCCAAUUUCUAUACUGUGAUAAAAUCAUGUUCAGCUAUAACCAAUUCGAGUGGCAUGCGAGUAGAUAACUACACGAACAAACUCAAAACCGGAGAUAAUAACCAAACAAAUCACAGAAUCAAAUCGCCAAACAAGCAAUUAACAUUCAGCUAUAAUAAAAUGAGUAGAGGAUUUAAGAGUUGAACCUCAGUGAGAGCGAGGACCUUUUUUACUUUAAUUAGAUAUAAGCUGAAUGUAAUCUUUGAACUCGAACCGGAACUACCACGAGCCGACAAACCCAAGCACACUCCGAUUCAAAAUUCCAACACAAACUUAACGGCAUAGCUCAAACCAGCAAAUUUAAUUGGUAAAAACUCAAGUAGACAUAAAUAACCAAAUCUGAAGAUGAAGUUUCAAUCAAUUGAUAUGCGAAAAAAACAAAACACAACUGAUGAAGCACAAAAAGCAGCCGCGAAAUUCGGUAACAAGCAUCAACAGAAAUCUGAACUUCGAAGGCACUUGGUAGACAACAAUAAUUCGAACCAAAGAAAACUUGGAAACAAAAGCUCUGUUAAGAAGUUCUUCAAUAUAAAAGUGGAAAGGAAUCAGUAAAUACACAACCCUUGAUUCCGAAAUCCAAUGAGAAAGAACAACAAGGUAUAAGAACAAAAUUUUUCAAUCGGAACUCGACCUAGAACCUCGAAUUUUUGCCGUGUUCCUCCUCCUCUCGUUCUCCACUCUUUCUCGUUUCUGUGUGUGUGUGGUUGUGCGACUGUCUAUGUGUUUUUUGGUUUUUUGGUGUUCUGUCUGUUUCCUCUAUUGUGUGUAUGCGUCUGUGACUACGAUUGAGCUUCCAUUUAUGUUGCCGAGUUUGAAGAAGUGAGAACGAGAAGGGUGAAGUUCAGGGGUUAAGGGUGAUUGUUUGGCUAUGCGGCGUGGUGAGGGCUGACGGCGGUGAGGUGAAGAGAGGAGGAGAGUGGCGUUGGAUUAGGGUCUAAGGUUCUCUCAUGGCUGCUUCUUUUUUUUUGUGAAGAAGAUGAUAUCCCAGGUCUCUUCUUUUGAUCAGAAACUGUUGUUGGGUUCAAGACUAGGGUCUUUUUUGGUCGUUCAUGGAGCUUGGGAUUUUUUGGGGUUGAAGAUGGAUGCUCCUCCAUUUGUAUCUAAUGGCUCUAGGACUAUUUAUAUCAAAUUCAGAGUCGCAACUUGGAAUAAUUUAUGGUAUCCCAAGUCACCGGUUUAAAAUCCCGAAUCGAGAAAAGUUGACUCUUAUUUAUGAUUUGCGAACACAAAAAUCCGGGUAAGGAAUUCUGUUAACCCAGGAGAAGGUGUUAGGCAUUCCUGGGUUCCGUGUUUUUAACACGGUCACUCAACUAUUAAAAUUGGCCUAAUUAUUUGAUUAAUUACAUAUUUUAAACCUACGUGCAUUUUUAACUUUCUAACCACUUUUAGUGUUUAUGGAAUUAUUCACGAUCGUCAUACACUUGCGAACCGUGUCACAUGAAAUGCACCCGCGAUUCACAAGAUGUUUCAUUCUAUUAUUAUUAUUUAAAAUUAUGGUAGGGUCACAUGAAAUGCACCCUCGAAUUGAGAUUUACGCAUCGUGACCAUGCCACGGGAACCGUACUCAUAGCCACGAUAAUUCAUUUACACGCCAAAAAGUUGGCCUACCCAUAUGGUGACGGCCUAAGCAUACACCUAACGAUGGACAAAUGAUAAAGUAAUAAAUAUUCUAAUUCCAAUUUACCUCAUUUCGUAUGUCCCACGGCCCUUUGUAUCUAUAAUUCCAUAAUUACCUAAGCAUCUAGGUAGACAAAAAUCGGCACAAAUAAUCAUUCAAGUAAAUCAAAUGAGAGCAUUUCAUGAGGAAACCAUUCAAGCUAAGAACCAGUCACGAGAAUUUAAGGCACAAAGUACGUAAUUCCAAAUAUUGACUUAUCAUUUUCAAAAAUAGACUAAUCUUGUAGACCGAGCAAGAACAAAUUAAUACACAACACAUAUAAUAGUAAUUAACACUGUCACAUUUAACCCAAACGCAAUCACGAUUUAAUAGAAAAUCAUUAAUAAAAUAAAGAUCUAGAGUUUAAGAGAAGAGAAGUGGACCUUUAAUUAGCUUUCCCAAUAAAAUGUUCCUUCGGCAAAACUUUACAGCAUUGGCUAUUUGACAUGAGAAAAGACAGAAAUCGACGCCGGAAAAACUCGUACACAAAUCCAACUGAACCGCGAAGUUGUCCGGAAACCUCAGACUACGACCUUCGACGAACUCGGAACUCCACGGAAAACUCGAAUUAAAGACAAACAAUGAAACCAAAUGAUUCUCUAACGGUGACUAACUGGAGACCAUUUUCAAAAUCGAAUGGAACCUCCUUGCCUCCGACUAGAAAUAAUAGAAAAAAUCCAGCUAUGACAUGAUGGUAAGCGCAACAGAGUUGCUGAUUUUGAGUGUGCGACAAAGAUACUCGGUGGUGGAAUUUGAGCGACACUCACGGAGGUCAAAAUAGUUCCAUUGAAGCUAUUAAUCUAAAAGGGGAACGAUGGGUUCCAUUCCCCUUUUUUACACUUGAGGAUGUAGGAUUUAUACGAGGGAGUAGCUUAGAGAGAAAGGUCGACCGGUGAGAGAAUCAUUGUGUGUGUGUGUGUGGCCACUGAUUUUGGUAGUGGAGGCCGUUCUCCUCUCUUGGGGGUGGUCUGUCGCCUUUUGCUCAUGUGGGUUUGGGUGGAGAUGAAGAAAGGGGGGUGACGGGCAUGAGUUAGGGUGCUGCUGGAGAAAGUAAUGUGGUAGGUGUUGUGUGGAGUAGUGUGAGGUCUAUUGUUUUAAUGGAGAAGAAGAAGUUCAGGGGGAGGGGGGUCUCUUGUUGAAAAAACGGCUGAAGCUUCAAGACUAGGUCAGGUCUGUUGGGUUUUGUUUGGAGAAGAAGGGUCCGUUGGCCUGGUCGUUUGAAGGUGGCUGACUGAAGAUGGGGUCUUCGCCGGUGGCUGGGUUACAUGUUUCUCUAGGGUUUGUUUGUGAAGAAGAUGAUGCUUCUCUUCUCGAAAAACGGUUGUUGUCCCUAGGGUUAAGUCUUAAGGAAUAAGAAGAAGGGAUCUUUUUUUUAAGUAUCUUUCUAGGGUUUUAGGGGUAUUGGGCUUAGGACUUAUGGACUAGGUCCGAAAAUUAGGCCUAAAAAUGGGUUGUUUGAGCCCAAAUAGUAUUCUUUUUCCUUGAACAAGACUAAAAAAAUACUACCUCAUUUACUAAUUAAUCCUACUUAAGUAAAUAACUAUGAAAAUUAAACUAAC
This 5239-nucleotide long non-coding RNA is filed under the name Nicotiana tabacum (common tobacco). RNAcentral's name for it is "long non-coding RNA (NTAB_LNC018385)". Lineage: Eukaryota; Viridiplantae; Streptophyta; Magnoliopsida; Solanales; Solanaceae. The record is from RNAcentral.